CUCCGGUGAUCCCGCCGGACCCGACUGCUAUCAGAGUGGGACUAAGCCAUGCGAGUCAACGUAGCAAUACGUGGCAUACGGCUCAGUAACACGUAGUCAACAUGCCCAGGGGACGAGGAUAACCUCGGGAAACUGAGGAUAAACCUCGAUAGGCCAUGAUUUCUGGAAUGAUUCUUGGCUCAAACCUAUAUGGCCCCUGGAUUGGACUGCGGCCGAUCAGGCUGUUGGUGAGGUAAUGGCCCACCAAACCUAUUACCGGUACGGGCUCUGAGAGGAGGAGCCCGGAGAUGGGCACUGAGACAAGGGCCCAGGCCCUAUGGGGCGCAGCAGGCGCGAAACCUCUGCAAUAGGCGAAAGCUUGACAGGGUUACUCUGAGUGAUUUCCGCUAAGGGAAUCUUUUGGCACCUCUAAAAAUGGUGCAGAAUAAGGGGUGGGCAAGUCUGGUGUCAGCCGCCGCGGUAAUACCAGCACCCCGAGUGGUCGGGACGAUUAUUGGGCCUAAAGCAUCCGUAGCCGGUCCUGCAAGUCUUCCGUUAAAUCCAGCUGCUCAACAGAUGGGCUGCGGGAGAUACUACAGGGCUAGGAGGCGGGAGAGGCAAGCGGUACUUUAUGGGUAGGGGUAAAAUCCGCUGAUCCAUAGAAGACCACCAGUGGCGAAGGCGGCUUGCCAGAACGCGCUCGACGGUGAGGGAUGAAAGCUGGGGGAGCAAACCGGAUUAGAUACCCGGGUAGUCCCAGCUGUAAACGAUGCAGACUCGGUGAUGGGUUGGCCUCGCGCCUGCCCAGUGCCGCAGGGAAGCCGUUAAGUCUGCCGCCUGGGGAGUACGGUCGCAAGACUGAAACUUAAAGGAAUUGGCGGGGGAGCA
This 867-nucleotide ribosomal RNA is filed under the name uncultured archaeon. Its description in RNAcentral is "bacterial SSU rRNA". It matches the Rfam family "Archaeal small subunit ribosomal RNA", at positions 1 to 878 of the family's 1478-position model. The record is from RNAcentral.